RNAcentral lists this ribosomal RNA (472 nucleotides) under Limaria hians. RNAcentral's name for it is "partial 16S ribosomal RNA". It matches the Rfam family "Bacterial large subunit ribosomal RNA", at positions 1816 to 2569 of the family's 2925-position model. Lineage: Eukaryota; Metazoa; Mollusca; Bivalvia; Limoida; Limidae. The record is from RNAcentral.
GGCWUCUUGUUGUUUAUAAAGAUAAGAAGUCCGGCCUGCCCGGUGAGGUUCUCCCUUUAACGGCAGCGGUAAAGUGCUUUAAUCGUAGCUCAAUUUCCUUGCCCUUUAAUUGUGGAGCUAUGUGAAUGGCAAGACGAGGGUUCGACUGUCUCGUUGCUGAUUAAAAUAAAACGGAGUGUGAGUGAAAAUACUCGCAUGGAUUAGAGGGACGAUAAGACCCCGUGGAGCUUUAGCAAUGGCUAGACAAAAUAGUUUAGUCUAAACUUAGGCUGGGGCAGCCAGAUGGGAAUGAAAAUACCAUACGAGAGACUUAAAAAGCGGGCGAGCUUUUAACGAUCCACUAGGUCAGUGAACGGCGGAACAAGUUACCCCGGGGGUAACAGGCUAAUUUCGCUCUGAGAGAUCCUAUUGAUGAGCGGGUUUGGCACCUCGAUGUUGGCUCNNNGUAUCCNNNNNNNCAGGAGUCUUUAAA